UCGAACGAAGUAGCAAUACUUAGUGGCAGACGGGUGAGUAACAUGUAGGUAUCUGCCCUUUGGCCUGGAAUAACACGAGGAAACUUGUGCUAAUACCGGAUAAGUCUUUACGGAGAAAGCUUUAUGCACCAUUGGAUGAGCCUGCACUUGAUUAGUUUGUUGGUGGGGUAAUGGCCUACCAAGACUGCGAUCAAUAGCUGAUUUGAGAGGAUGAUCAGCCACAUUGGGACUGAGACACGGCCCAAACUCCUACGGGAGGCAGCAGUGGGGAAUCUUGCACAAUGGAGGAAACUCUGAUGCAGCGAUGCCGCGUGAGUGAAGAAGGCCCUUGGGUUGUAAAGCUCUUUCGUCGGGGAAGAAAAUGACUGUACCCGAAUAAGAAGGUCCGGCUAACUUCGUGCCAGCAGCCGCGGUAAUACGAAGGGACCUAGCGUAGUUCGGAAUUACUGGGCUUAAAGAGUUCGUAGGUGGUUGAAAAAGUUAGUGGUGAAAUCCCAGAGCUUAACUCUGGAACUGCCAUUAAAACUUUUCAGCUAGAGUAUGAUAGAGGAAAGCAGAAUUUCUAGUGUAGAGGUGAAAUUCGUAGAUAUUAGAAAGAAUACCAAUUGCGAAGGCAGCUUUCUGGAUCAUUACUGACACUGAGGAACGAAAGCAUGGGUAGCGAAGAGGAUUAGAU
RNAcentral lists this ribosomal RNA (676 nucleotides) under uncultured bacterium. RNAcentral describes it as "bacterial SSU rRNA". It matches the Rfam family "Bacterial small subunit ribosomal RNA", at positions 62 to 783 of the family's 1533-position model. The record is from RNAcentral.